GCAGUCGUGGCCGAGUGGAUAAAGCGAUGGACUAGAAAUCCAUUAGAGUCUCCCCGCACAUGUUUGAUUUCCUGUCGACUGCG
This 83-nucleotide transfer RNA is filed under the name Ixodes scapularis (black-legged tick). It matches the Rfam family "tRNA". From Rfam's summary of the family: Transfer RNA (tRNA) molecules are approximately 80 nucleotides in length. Their secondary structure includes four short double-helical elements and three loops (D, anti-codon, and T loops). Lineage: Eukaryota; Metazoa; Arthropoda; Arachnida; Ixodida; Ixodidae. The record is from Rfam by way of RNAcentral.